ACACUCCGCGCCGAACUAUAUUAAGCCAAUCAAGGCUAGUUUAUCACUCAGUCGAGUAUCUGCCCUCGCGGCGAACACAUCAGCUCCUGCUCUGCUCGAUUCUUCUGCGCUUUUUCUCUCUCUACUCUUCUCGUUCGUACUUUUGGUGAUAUUACAUAUUUUCUCUCUCGUCGAUUACAUGGAAGUGCCUGUGUGCCAAGUUCUUCCGCCGCGGAGGUGUGGCUGCAGCGGCCGGAUGGAUUAUCACACUCGCACGUGUCGACGCAGCCGCCGAGGAUCAACAGGUCCUGGUACGAGCUGAAAACACUGUCGGAUUCACCCGGAGAGAAGAAUCUUCUUGAAGCGCAUAUAAGCCUCGGCGAGACCAUUCAUCCAGCGACGACUCAAUGAGGGCCACUGUGUUUUUCGUCGCAUAACUCCGGCGCACAUUGGAGGCGUUGUGGUGAGGCUGUAGUUCGGGCGUGUACGCGGUGGAAGAUGAUAGAAUUGAUGCAGAAGAUUCGAUGGACGAUUUGGAGAAAAAUUUUCGCAAAAUCCCGUCCUGUUCCUAAGUACUAGUGCCGCAGGAGUGACUAGAUUGGGCUAGAAAUUACCGCGUCUCCUGCUGCUCAAGUGCUUAUCAAUGGUUCGGGACGCACGACAAUGUAUACUUUGCGAAAAUGUUCGAUUCAGCGUGUUUGCGAACUUCGAUUGCGGCCAGUGCGCUGAAAGUUUAUAAAAUUAAGUUGAGUUGUAAAACAUCACAGAUGUUAUGUAUGAUUAGUGUUUUUGUAUUGUGAUAUUUAAUAAAGUGUAUAUAUACAUAUUUACGAGAAAACAUA
Long non-coding RNA from Nasonia vitripennis (jewel wasp), 821 nucleotides. RefSeq lists it as uncharacterized. The record is from RefSeq and is a predicted model, not a curated record. Lineage: Eukaryota; Metazoa; Arthropoda; Insecta; Hymenoptera; Pteromalidae. The transcript has 3 exons.